GAGUUUGAAUCCUGGCUCAGGACGAACGCUGGCGGCGUGCCUAAUACAUGCAAGUCGAGCGRGGUUAUKUAGAAGCUUGCUUCUAMAUAACCUAGCGGCGGACGGGUGAGUAMKACGUAGGCAACCUGCCCACAAGACAGGGAUAACUACCGGAAACGGUAGCUAAUACCCGAUACAUCCUUUUCCUGCAUGGGMGARGGAGGAAAGACGGAGCAAUCUGUCACUUGUGGAUGGGCCUGCGGCGCAUUAGCUAGUUGGUGGGGUAAAGGCCUACCAAGGCGACGAUGCGUAGCCGACCUGAGAGGGUGAUCGGCCACACUGGGACUGAGACACGGCCCAGACUCCUACGGGAGGCAGCAGUAGGGAAUCUUCCGCAAUGGGCGAAAGCCUGACGGAGCAACGCCGCGUGAGUGAUGAAGGUUUUCGGAUCGUAAAGCUCUGUUGCCAGGGAAGAACGUCUUGUAGAGUAACUGCUACAAGAGUGACGGUACCUGAGAAGAAAGCCCCGGCUAACUACGUGCCAGCAGCCGCGGUAAUACGUAGGGGGCAAGCGUUGUCCGGAAUUAKWGGSCGUAWAGCKCGCGCAGRCGKCU
Molecule: ribosomal RNA, 593 nt
Filed under: Paenibacillus brasilensis
Lineage: Bacteria; Bacillati; Bacillota; Bacilli; Caryophanales; Paenibacillaceae
Description: partial 16S ribosomal RNA
Rfam family: Bacterial small subunit ribosomal RNA
Source: RNAcentral